This 62-nucleotide transfer RNA is filed under the name Fasciola hepatica (liver fluke). RNAcentral describes it as "tRNA-Arg". Lineage: Eukaryota; Metazoa; Platyhelminthes; Trematoda; Plagiorchiida; Fasciolidae. The record is from RNAcentral.
UUUGAUAUCCGAUUGGGUUUACGUUUCGGCCGUAGAUUUGGAAUGUUUUAUUUCUAUCAAAG